Long non-coding RNA from Brassica napus (rape), 745 nucleotides. RefSeq lists it as uncharacterized. NCBI's taxonomy places the organism in Eukaryota, Viridiplantae, Streptophyta, Magnoliopsida, Brassicales, Brassicaceae. The record is from RefSeq and is a predicted model, not a curated record. The transcript has 2 exons.
CUCUCCUCGACGCGACGGGGCUCUCUGUCCUUUGCUCUCCGUGAUUCGUUCAGGUAAAGCUUCUGUUUAAUGUUCUUCAAUCAUCAUGCAUGGCUUAGAUUGUGCUUUGAUCAGUUGUGAUUUUUUUGUUUCAAGAUCAACGAGUUGAUAAUGUUUCUGUAUGUUGAUUAUGUUGGGUUUAGGUGUAAUAUAUAUUGUUUCAUUGUCGUAAUGUUUGUUGCAAGUUAAUCAAAUUUGAUUUGGCUUAUUUCAGUCGAUUAAUAUAUUUCGUUUCUGUCUUUGUGGGCUGAGAUGUUGGGAUCAAAUGGCGUUAGCUAUACAAGCUGUGGAAAGAGAGCUGAGGAAGCUUCAUCGAACAACAGACUACAAUAUCAAAACAGGUCACGGUAAUGAGUGGAGCAUUGGAGUCGGUAGUUUUCUCAUGUCACGGACUCUGUAUUGGACUGUCUUAUACUCUUUUGUAAGGACUGUCUUGUAAUCUUUUGUAAGACAGUUUGUAUGUUUAUGUCACGGACUCUUUGUAUGUUUAUGUCACGGAAUCUUUGUACUCUUUUGUCUUGUUGUUUUUGUAUGUUUAUGUCACGGACAAUGCAUUUGUAUGUUUCAUGAAUUAUAAAAUAUGCUACCCUCUAUCUCUUGCUUCUAUAAAUUGUUCUUUCUCUACAAACCAAUCACAAACGCAUUAUCCAUCUUCCUACGAAACCAAAAGCGAAGCCAAAUCACCAAUUCGUUCUCCAUCUUCUUA